GACGAACGCUGGCGGCGUGCCUAAUACAUGCAAGUAGAACGCUGAAGGAGGAGCUUGCUCUUCUGGAUGAGUUGCGAACGGGUGAGUAACGCGUAGGUAACCUGCCUGGUAGCGGGGGAUAACUAUUGGAAACGAUAGCUAAUACCGCAUAAGAGUAGAUGUUGCAUGACAUUUGCUUAAAAGUUUCAAUUGCAUCACUACCAGAUGGACCUGCGUUGUAUUAGCUAGUUGGUGGGGUAACGGCUCACCAAGGCGACGAUACAUAGCCGACCUGAGAGGGUGAUCGGCCACACUGGGACUGAGACACGGCCCAGACUGCUACGGGAGGCAGCAGUAGGGAAACUGCGGCAAUGGACGGAAGUCUGACCGAGCAACGCCGAGUGAGUGAAGAAGGUUUUCGGAUCGUAAAGCUCUGUUGUAAGAGAAGAACGAGUGUGAGAGUGGAAAGUUCACACUGUGACGGUAUCUUACCAGAAAGGGACGGCUAACUACGUG
RNAcentral lists this ribosomal RNA (495 nucleotides) under uncultured bacterium. RNAcentral describes it as "partial 16S ribosomal RNA". It matches the Rfam family "Bacterial small subunit ribosomal RNA", at positions 28 to 507 of the family's 1533-position model. The record is from RNAcentral.